This 235-nucleotide unclassified non-coding RNA is filed under the name Hevea brasiliensis (rubber tree). The record is from RNAcentral. Lineage: Eukaryota; Viridiplantae; Streptophyta; Magnoliopsida; Malpighiales; Euphorbiaceae.
AAGGAUAUUCAUAGUUUAGGUGACUUCCCUUCGAAUUUGAUCAUCUCAGCCAACCAAACACAACAGAUUUGCCACUUCCCCAAGAAGUUCAAAGUCCUUGGCCUACUUUGUGAAAAACAAACAAGGCCUUAGGCCUCUGAGUCUCUAUUAUCAUCUCAUUUUCCCAUCCCAUGCUUCAUUUGAUUUCAAACAUUAAUAUGUCAAAAUGUCAAUUUUAAUAUUUCAAACACAAGUU